GUACUGUACUAUGUUCUGAUUGGUCAAUGAUACGACCUUUCAGAAAGAUUCAUUAUCUUGUGAAAUUAGCACAACAGCUGAGGUGGAUAGUAAUCCAUGCAGGAAACGAUUCAGUUCUUUGUUAAGCAUGUAUUUUCUGUAAAAGUGCUGUUUGCUUUCUUUGUUUGUGUUUUGUGCAAUUGACCCAGCAGAAUGGGCGAGGUCGUAAAUGUGAGGGUAGGUACACAACAGGCUUUUAGAUAAUUUCGAAUUGUUGAGGGUGUGGCUAAACAGCGAGGUACAGUGAGUUAAAGCCUACUGCGGAAUUUAAACAGAAUGCACAGUGUAAGGGAGAGACGCAAAGGUUUUCUGUUGUAUGUUGUAGACCGAUGGCAUUUUUUACAUAGACGAUCUGAAUGAAGUUUUGGAAUAUCUUUUAGAAUAUUCCACCAUAGAAGAAAUUUCGAGUCAGAAUACAUGUGAUUAGUAAAUAAGAUUGCUCAUUUACAUUUUAUAACUAAUAUGUUUCUUUCAUAUUGUAUUUUCCAUCUUUAUGAGGCUUCGUGUAAUUUUUGGAGAACCUCCUCGGACGAGUCCACAGUAGUGAGGGUCGAGAAAUAAUGCCAAAAUAAAACGUUGAUUCUUCCUCUGAAUAAGAUUCAUCUAGCCAUUGGAGUAAAUGAUGAGAGCAAUCACUGAUCAAUCAAUAGCGCUACCUUAUUUGAAUUCAGACCGGCAUGAGCAGACCACUCACUGCGUGGUACGACGAAUCCAACUCCUCUGCCUGUGAGCGCUAGACGACGCGAUGCCGUUGCGUGCGUCGUGUUCUCUAGCAUCGCCGUCGGGCGUAGUUUGAAUCUAUGGUGAAAGAAUGACAGCUCAUUAUCUAUCGAAUAACUUUUAAUACAAUAGAGCUGAGUGAUUGGCUGAGAGGUAUUGUUUCUGCUUCUUGUGCUGAAGAACUCGGUUCCAUCCAAAAUAAAAAGGAGUUAAUCGUCUUCGGCCUGGUAACCUUCUCCGUGCUAAUUCUUUGACUGGUCACAAGGUAAAAAUCAUGAUUCGAUAUUCGUGACAUUGCUCGUACUGCUGUUCCAUCAACAUAAGUACAGUUUUUACCCAUAUUAUUUCUAUAAAACUAAUAUUAAGAUUGGACCUCUGCUACUGUGCAGUCUCUCCCUGGUUCGACUUCCUGGACCCGCCACUGUUGAAGUAUCAUUUCCGGGCUCUGGAUUAAUUAUUACCCUAUAAAAAGGCCCCUAACUUUCAAAAACGUUCCACCGCCGUUGCGUAGCAUCUAGUUUAGCUGUUGCGGCCACAUAAGGACUUAACAGUAGAGUGUCUGCCAUACAAAUAAUCAAAAAAAUUCUUGGUGACAUUGAAAUGUCCUUCCAUGUCUAGAUAAGCACAUGCCUCAUGGCAUCUCUGUUAAGGGUUCCUCGUAUUUUUCGCUACAAAAAAUGCAGCGGUAUUCUUCGAUCUUACAGCGGUAUUCUUCAGUAGGCCUAAUUUCUUUGGUUGUUACGGAUAUUCCUUUUUCUUUAGUCUGAUUUGCCCGACUCUGCAGGGUCUGCCUGAGGUUCUCCGGGUCUUCCUGAUGUUCUGCAGGGUCUGUAUGGGGUUCUGCUGGGACUGCUUCAGGAUCUGUAUCUUACUCAAUGGGAUAUUCCCUCUCAGUCACUUCAGAAGGUGCAAAGUCAAUAGCUGUGAAUAUGUCUGGAUUGAAUGGGUUUACCGGUGCAUUCAAAUCCCUUUGCUGCAUUUCCAACUGAUGCACACCGCAAAUAUGCAAUUAAAAAUAUGUCCAAUGGUUGAAUCUUGUGACUGGUGUGUGGUGAUAUGGAUAGCAGUGGUUGUCAAGGAUAAGCAGGGUCUUUGAUGCCGUUUCAUAUAACCACUUAUCCAGUCUUGUCCGGCUUUCUUCGUGUCUCUGUUAAAAGGAUGAUGGAUACCAUUGCUUUCCGCAUAUUCAUAUGCUAAAAUUCUCAACUCAUCGUAAGUCAGUCCAUAUAACAUAGUCUGAAGCUUCAACAAGUGGGUCACGAAUUCUGCUUCUGCAGCUUGACUGAACACCGUGGAAAAUGUACCUCUCUUUCCACAGUUUACAAGUCCCUUGAUUGAACGAUUCAACGUCGAUUUAGGAACAUCAUGGUUCGAGCUGCUUCUCUGACUAUUUUUUCACGCGACUUAACGGCCUCAACCGCCUUCUCCAUAUUGGACUUAUCCCAGCUAAAUCUAAAUAUGGUGGAGGAUAUGUUAUUUAACAAUAUAAACUUGUUAUUUUUAAGGAUUCCCGAACGUGCGAUAGGCCUAUAUAAUAGUAGUAGGCCCAAACAAAGCUUAUUAUAGUAAACCAACUAUGCAUCAUCUGUACACACAGACUAAAUUCAGCUUUAAUACUAUUAGGGGCAUGAUGGGACACUGUCCCAUGCUCAUGUCUCAGAAUCAGUUAUGCUUCAAAAUCUUAAGGAUACUUGGAUUUUUCUCGCUGAAAUUUCUUCUACACGUGUAAUAGGAAUACUGUAACAAAGCAUGAGGAAAUCACCCCCUCUAUCCUAUUAGUCUUCGAAAUACAGCCAUGUCCAUCCAAACUAGGUUUAGGUUUAGCAAAAUCGGCAUAAGCCAGGAUGGGAGCCUUGUCAUCUUCAUCAAAUUCGAUUUGCCAGUAACCUUACUUCAAAUCCAGAGAUGAAAACUUUACGGCUCCAUGCAGGGCGUCGAGCGUAUCUUCAAUCCUCGGUAAAGAAUAGCCUCUGUCUGUGUCAUGCUGAGAGAAAACAGAUUCCCACUUGCGGAGGAAUUGUUUUACUUCUUGUACACGCGAAAUCUCGUUUGGCCCGGGCGCACUACUUACGCACUCGUCCCGAUGGUCUGCAUGUACUCGGUAGCCUGGUAAUAUACCGCUUGUCACACGCACUCUCUGAUUACAUGAUUUGUAGUUUCUGCAUUUGACAUUCAUUUGUAUAAAUAUGUUAUUAUAAUAUUACAUAAUUGUGACUGCAAAGGUAAUAAAUAUUAAUCCAAGGUCUUCAGUACAAAACACUUGAGACCACUGGCAAAAUUAUGGAUGAUUACAUAAUAAUUUCAUAAUUGUGUGGGUAUGAAUUUUUAUAGUGUUGAUAUAUUAAUUUAUAUUAGUGACGUUUGUUUAUUCUUUGUUUAAAGCAGGGGGGGAGGUUGGGGUGGGGUGUGUGUUUUAGUUUCCCCUGAUUGUUCAUGCACGUGGUCUACUGGGAUGUGUGAAAUAUGCGUAUAUCGACAUAAAUAGAUCAUGACAUAUGCCUGUAUUUUUGUAAUUUAUUAAUUUCAUUCUUUGUAAUAAUGUGAAAGUCUGUUUGGUGAAUUGUAUUGUAUUAAUUAAAAUAUAGUAUUUGAAGAAAAUUUAAAAA
This 3365-nucleotide long non-coding RNA is filed under the name Anneissia japonica. Its description in RNAcentral is "uncharacterized LOC117100221, transcript variant X2". Lineage: Eukaryota; Metazoa; Echinodermata; Crinoidea; Comatulida; Comatulidae. The record is from RNAcentral.